UACGAAGGGGGCUAGCGUUGCUCGGAAUCACUGGGCGUAAAGGGUGCGUAGGCGGGUCUUUUAAGUCAGGGGUGAAAUCCUGGAGCUCAACUCCAGAACUGUCUUUGAUACUGAAGAUCUUGAGUUCGGGAGAGGUGAGUGGAACUGCGAGUGUAGAGGUGAAAUUCGUAGAUAUUAGGAAGAACACCAGUGGCGAAGGCGGCUCACUGGAUCGGUACUGACGCUGAGGUGCGAAAGCGUGGGGAGCAAACGGG
This 254-nucleotide ribosomal RNA is filed under the name uncultured bacterium. RNAcentral's name for it is "partial 16S ribosomal RNA". It matches the Rfam family "Bacterial small subunit ribosomal RNA", at positions 524 to 776 of the family's 1533-position model. The record is from RNAcentral.